This 741-nucleotide long non-coding RNA is filed under the name Homo sapiens (human). RNAcentral describes it as "HSALNT0362422". The record is from RNAcentral. Lineage: Eukaryota; Metazoa; Chordata; Mammalia; Primates; Hominidae.
AUUUAUUCAUUUACUUAACAAAGAGUUAACACAUGCUUAUCUUGUGGCUGCAACAUAGUAACCUGGAGAUUGUCAGUGGGGCCUGGGACAAAGGGACCAGAGACGAAGUCUCACUCUGUCACCCAGGCUGCAGUGCAGUGGCACGAUCUCGGCUCACUACAACCUCCACCUCCCAGGUUUAAGCGAUUCUCCUGCCUCACCCUCCUGAGUAGCUGGGAUUACAGAGUGAAGCCAAAGGCACAGGAAGCACAGCUGGAAUGGGGACAUAGGAACGCGGGGGCUCCCAUGAGUUGACCGGACAACUGAGAGAUGGCAACCUAGACCUGGGGGACAAAAUAUGCUAUGUUUUCGUGAAUCCAUGAUUCGACCUGAAGAAGAAGGAAAGAACUGGACAUCCAGAUGAGUACAUUGAUAUCGAAGAAAAAAAGAGGAGGGAGCACACAGGUGAGCAGGUGCAGGAACCAGCCGGACAAUUUGCCGCCAGCAGGAAUGAACUCCAAGCAGGCCCCACUGCAGUAUCCAGGUCGGGGUGCCUGUGACUUCUGAAGCCACAGAGGCAUUCUUUUGCUACUUACAUGGUGGAACUCCUUGAACAGAAUAACAGACCAUAGUGCCUGCCUGGAAUUCAGACUGGAAAAGAUUGAAAUAUCUGUGUAGUUCAUAUAUCUGAAACACUGACUUCAUCUCACUCAUGAGAAUUCAACAGUUAUGCUAAAGAUUGUGUUAUGGGAGCUCCUAGAG